Molecule: long non-coding RNA, 134 nt
Organism: Mustela erminea (ermine)
Lineage: Eukaryota; Metazoa; Chordata; Mammalia; Carnivora; Mustelidae
Exons: 3
Source: RefSeq, a predicted model, not a curated record
CUCAGUUGGUUAAGCAUCUGACUCUUGGUUCGGCUUAUGCCAUGAUCUCAGAAUCAUGAGACCGAGCCCGCAUUGGUCUCCAUACUCAGCACAAGUCUGCUUGAAUAUUCUCUCCCUCCGCCUCCCAUUCUGCC